GCAAAAUGAAAAAAAAAUUUAUUUCCUCAGUGUUUUUAUCCACCGUCAAUACUGUAUUUUUGAUGCAAUAUAUUUGCAAAGAAAAAAACAAUCUCAGCUUUUAUUUUCCAUUUUAAACAACUACAAUAUUUACAAGCUAUUUAGAAUAACAAACAUCCAGACACACACACACACUCACGGACCCACGCGAGUACAUAUAUUCUUAUCUCUGGUUUAUACUGAAUGCUGGUAAAGGCAAUGAAUGCUUUCAGAGCCCAUGAUCAGAAAAGGGAAACCCAUUUUCCUUCCUCACACAGAUCUUCCUGAACCAUUUUUAGCAUUCUUCCUUCCAUUUCCUCAUGCAGAGCUCAUUGUAGAAAGGUAAGGUAACCAGUUUUUACAAUUUAUUUUUACUUAAACUGUAAGCUUUAAAAAGCAUAAGCAGACAUGAUUUCCCCCACAUUUCUGUUAUUUUGGUUGCAGAAUCAAGCUUCAGGUAUAAAAAAUCUUGUUCAACCACAGUCACACUAAACCCGAGAGUCAUCUGGAGCAGCCAUCUCAUUUUCUACCUACUACUCUGUUCUGAAUACCAAGGCAUCACAUCAUCUGUGCAAGUAACACGCAGGUAUCCAUCCUUACCAUCAUCUUCCAUGACCAUUGUUCCUUCUAGCAUGGCUCCACUGAAUCACAAAUUGUCAGGUGCAGAGCUGGGCAUAGGAAAAAAGGUCUGACCCUAUAUAAUAGGUAUGUCUUACGAAAGCGUUGUCAUGUAACCUUGCGAUGACAAUCGGUUCUGGUUCCCCCAAAGAAUGUUGUUGUGUUGCUUCCAUAAAAUGACAGAUAAUAAAGUUCAGCUCGUAAAUAGAACUUAUUUACUCUACUUCAGAAAGAAUAUGUGGCUGAUAGGCAAUAAAGAGAAAUUCUUAUACGUAAUUCUUGAGAUGACCCUGGUGAGGUGAUUCAAAGCAGAAAAUAUAUUUGUUUCAAGCAAAAUUAAUGCUCCACUCACAUACCUACCAGAUCUACUUGUAUAAUAAUUAAUUCCUUUCCAGUCACAAUUCUUACUAAACAUUUCACAAGCUAAACAUGAGAAGGCCUAGGUGUAUACCAACCAGAUUUUUUAAAUAGAAAAAUGAAGAAGAGAGAAGCUGGUUUUUAAAUACUUAAAAACCCCUACAGAUACCCAAUGUAAUAGUCAAACUUACACUGCACAAAUACAUGGUCAUAUAUGACUUUUCUCUUUCUCUAGAUCAAUAAAACUCAAUUUCUACAUAAGACUGAAACCAAAAAGUUCCCAAAUUAAAGAAAAAGCCUUUGGAAUAAAAAUUGAUGUUGGAUACCUUAUCUGAACAAUUUAUCAUAUCAAAGGAAAAACUAGACUGGGUCUAAGUCUAGGCAAAGUAAUUUGCAUGAUUACAUUAUACACUACAGAAAAGAACAAGAAUGAAUCCUGAGGGCUUAAACAAAGGGGUGGGGGAUUGUCUAUAUUAAUGAAAGAAUAAGGAAGAUAAACAAAAAGGUAAUUAAUCUGGACAGCAGUUUAUAACUUAAUCACUAGUAAACAUAAAUUCAAGGACUUCUCAAGCAAAAUUACUAAGGUAUCUUUUUCUCAAGUCAUAUAUUUAGGAGGAAAGAUUUUUGAAAGUUAAAGAAGAUAAUUUUAGACUCUGGGCAAAUCAUAAGUUUAAAAGACCUCGUUCUGGAUGAGUGACUCAGUGCAGCAAUCCACCAAAUGAAGAAUUUCUAAGCAGAGGCAGAAGCAAAGUGGAAUUUAUUAAGGCUAAGCUACCCUUGCUUAGAUUUGAGGCUGUUUUUUAUAUGCUGAUAGAGGAUAGAAAAAUAAAGCAACACAGGAAGAAAAACACAUCUUCCCAAUAAGCUUAGUCUCUACAUAAAAACUUACAUUUUCAUUGCCUGAUAUUUGGUGCACAGAGUGAUUUUCCACACCUCACUCAGGAUAGAAACAUUGUCUACUUCUGUUUCAAGGAUUAGUAGAAGUAUCUCAGAUAUACUUGAAAUAUUUUUAAAACUACUUCAAAUCUAAUGGAAGCUCAUCUUCCAAUAAUAGAAACCCAAAGAAGGCAGAACACUGAUGAAGUUUAUUCAUUAAUUUCCUGAAAGGUAAUUAAUCUCCUCUUACCUUAAAAAAUAUACAGUCUCACCACCUACUCUCCCAAGCCCCUUAAAUAUCAACAGCUUAUAUUAAUCUAGACUCUUGGAAAAUUUAGAAUUCUCAAGAAAAAAGUGAAUAUUUAAAGUUUUAUCAAGUACUGAAAAUGGUGUAAAAAGAGGACUCAUACACACGUUACAAGCUGGAAGAUUAACCAAAAGUUUAAAUUUGAGUUAUAAAAUGAUUUUUGCCAAAAAAAAAAAAAAAAA
This 2358-nucleotide long non-coding RNA is filed under the name Canis lupus familiaris (dog). RNAcentral describes it as "lncRNA (ENSCAFG00000051522.1, ENSCAFG00845009087.1)". The record is from RNAcentral. Lineage: Eukaryota; Metazoa; Chordata; Mammalia; Carnivora; Canidae.